GAUGAACGCUGGCGGCGUGCCUAAUACAUGCAAGUCGAGCGAACGGACGAGAAGCUUGCUUCUCUGAUGUUAGCGGCGGACGGGUGAGUAACACGUGGAUAACCUACCUAUAAGACUGGGAUAACUUCGGGAAACCGGAGCUAAUACCGGAUAAUAUUUUGAACCGCAUGGUUCAAAAGUGAAAGACGGUCUUGCUGUCACUUAUAGAUGGAUCCGCGCUGCAUUAGCUAGUUGGUAAGGUAACGGCUUACCAAGGCAACGAUGCAUAGCCGACCUGAGAGGGUGAUCGGCCACACUGGAACUGAGACACGGUCCAGACUCCUACGGGAGGCAGCAACAGGGAAUCUUCCGCAAUGGGCGAAAGCCUGACGGAGCAACGCCGCGUGAGUGAUGAAGGUCUUCGGAUCGUAAAACUCUGUUAUUAGGGAAGAACAUAUGUGUAAGUAACUGUGCACAUCUUGACGGUACCUAAUCAGAAAGCCACGGCUAACUACGUG
This 497-nucleotide ribosomal RNA is filed under the name uncultured bacterium. RNAcentral's name for it is "partial 16S ribosomal RNA". It matches the Rfam family "Bacterial small subunit ribosomal RNA", at positions 28 to 507 of the family's 1533-position model. The record is from RNAcentral.